GAUGAACGCUAGCGGCAGGCCUAAUACAUGCAAGUCGAGGGAGAAUGUUGGAUUCGUCUGACAUGGAACCGGCGCACGGGUGCGUAACACGUAUGCAACCUACCUUUAACUGGGGUAUAGCUCAGAGAAAUCUGAAUCAAUCCCCCAUAAGACUACGACAUGGCAUCAUGAUGUAGUUAAAGCUCCGGCGGUUAAGGAUGGGCAUGCGGUACAUUAGCUAGUUGGUGAGGUAAUGGCUCACCAAGGCUACGAUGUAUAGGGGGUCUGAGAGGAUGAUCCCCCACACUGGUACUGAGACACGGACCAGACUCCUACGGGAGGCAGCAGUAGGGAAUAUUGGUCAAUGGACGCAAGUCUGAACCAGCCAUGCCGCGUGAAGGAUGAAGGCCCUAUGGGUCGUAAACUUCUUUUAUUAGGGAAGAAAAAACGGGAUGCGUCCUGUACUGACGGUACUUAAUGAAUAAGGAUCGGCUAACUUCGUGCCAGCAGCCGCAGUAA
This 498-nucleotide ribosomal RNA is filed under the name uncultured bacterium. RNAcentral's name for it is "partial 16S ribosomal RNA". It matches the Rfam family "Bacterial small subunit ribosomal RNA", at positions 28 to 523 of the family's 1533-position model. The record is from RNAcentral.